RNAcentral lists this long non-coding RNA (449 nucleotides) under Helianthus annuus (common sunflower). The record is from RNAcentral. Lineage: Eukaryota; Viridiplantae; Streptophyta; Magnoliopsida; Asterales; Asteraceae.
AUGGAUCCGUCAAAGCAGGUGGCUUUGGAUUCGUCUCGUUUGGCAAGGUGAGAAAAUGGAAGAAGUGGGUGGCUUGUUUUCUUUGUCGGUGGGGAGCCUCUUGAACAAGGGUGAUCGGAAAAGGUUGUUGAAAAGAAAAAAAUGAAAAACACGGUGGUGACAUUAUGGCGUUGGAGUUCAAUCGGGCGGCUUUGGAUGUGGCCGGGGUAGGUCGUUGAUCCGUGAUAAGUCAAGAUGUGAAUGAACGGUGUUCCAACGUUAUGCCAUAUUACAUGUUACGGGCGUGGUGUUUUUUUUCGGGUUAAACCGAGACAUUGGACGUGAUCGAGGUGAAGAUCGGGUGUCCGUUAGAUGUCAUAGUGGUUCGAAACCGAGGUGGUUCGGUGCUACGGUGAACGGUUCGAACAAACACCGAUUAAGGGGGUGAUUGUUGAGUUUACUCGGGUUUG